GUGAACGCUGGCGGCGUGCUUAAGACAUGCAAGUCGUACGAGAAAGUCCGCAAGGAUAAGUAAAGUGGCGUCCGGGUGAGUAAUACUUAGAUAACGUACCUUAUCGCUGAGAAUAACUAGGCGAAAGCUUAGCUAAUACUGAAUAAUCCGCGGAAAACUGAGGUUUUCUUCGGUAAAGCCGCAAGGCGCGAUAAGAGCGAUUUAAGUCCUAUCAGCUAGUUGGUGAGGUAACGGCUCACCAAGGCUAUGACGGGUAGCUGGUCUGAGAGGACGACCAGCCACACUGGAACUGAAACACGGUCCAGACUCCUACGGGAGGCAGCAGUUAGGAAUUUUGCGCAAUGGACGAAAGUCUGACGCAGCAACGCCGCGUGAGUGAUGAAGGCCUUCGGGUCGUAAAGCUCUUUUAGUUGGAACGAAACUAAUGACGGUACCAGCAGAAAAAGCACCGGCUAACCCUGU
Molecule: ribosomal RNA, 462 nt
Filed under: uncultured bacterium
Lineage: Bacteria
Description: bacterial SSU rRNA
Rfam family: Bacterial small subunit ribosomal RNA
Source: RNAcentral